UGGAAUAAUACAGAGAAGAUUAGCAAGGAUGACAUGCAAAUACAUGAAGCAUCCCAUAUUUUU
RNAcentral lists this small nuclear RNA (63 nucleotides) under Myotis lucifugus (little brown bat). Lineage: Eukaryota; Metazoa; Chordata; Mammalia; Chiroptera; Vespertilionidae. The record is from RNAcentral.